GAUAAACUGAUGGAGUUUAGCAAUAGUAAAUAAUGGAUUGGCCCAAAGUAAUAAAGGUUAGAAGACUUAAUGGGCCUGGGUGAACUGAACUGCAACAUGUGUAUAUGAUGACGUAAACUAAAUGUGUUUGAUUGAUAUGAGAUCCAACAAGUACGGUACUUGGUUAUUUUGUUUUGGGAAAAAAACUAGUCAGCCGCCUCAGUUGUGAAGUUGGAGAAAAAAAAAAACCCUACUUUUCAUCUUAAAAUUACUCUGCUGCUGGUGCUUUGGUGGAUGCUGAAAUUUUCAAGUAUGUUGGAACCCAAAGGCGUUCUUUUCAGUUUACCGUACAAAUGGGAAGGAUUUUGUGCUUGUUGUGGUGAUUAAGGCCACUCGACCCAGCCCACAAAAGUUUUGUAACGAAAUUUGGAGUUUAAGGAUGAACUACAAACAACUGUGGAAGUUAGAGGAAAUUUGCAGGCACUCAAAAGAUGGUUUUAGUAUUGGCUCAAGGUUGCUCAUUAUUUUGGGGGUCGUGGUAUGUCUCUAUGCUGCUAAUGUAAGUAGAAGUGGUUAGUUAUUAGUGUUACUUGCUAUUUUGUUGUCUAUAUGUUGUAUUAUUAUUUAAAACAAAACUGGAUUGUAAGUUUUGCUUUUACAGUUAGAGUACAAUUUCUUCAGUUCGGAAACAUUGGCAAGUUUAGAAAAGUGAAACAACUUGGCUACAAUGAGGGUUUGAAACUUAUCUCCUAAGAAUAUUGUGAAGUCAACUUAAUGUAAUCCUGGAAAGUAAAUGCUUCUCCAUCUUUUGUUAUCUAAGACAUAAAAUAAAGAUGAUGGUUUGCUUUCUUUGUGGCUCCUCCAUUAUUAAUCCUUUGCUUCACAACAUGAUUCUGCUUUGUUUACUACUAGUCGUUUACCCGCGCGAUGCGGCGGGAAACAUAUGACUUAGGUUGGUGAGUUUAGGGCUAUGUACGGGGCUGUUCGGUUUUGAGCCUACUUAAUUGAGUGUAAAAUAACUAAUCCACAACUUCUCUGCAGGCAAUCCAUAUCUGAACGACUGAACCCAAAGCACAAAAUUAAACAAGAAUUAGGACAAUUGAAGACAAAAACACAAGGUUAAGCAGUAUCAAAAUGUUUGCAAACAAAUAGUAUAUUAAAAAUCUGAAUUGAAGUUUUGCUAUAGGGUAUAUAUCAUAGCUAAAAAUAAAAAGUAUGUUUUAAAAAAAAAUAUUAUAGCAUUUUAUAAAGCGGUAUAGGAGGUUUUUAUGCAGUUAGUAUGCUUAUUAAAGUUUUCGAGUUAGUAGCAUCGGUGAUAAUUUUCCUUUUUCAUAUAUUAAUUCACAAAAGUGUAUCAUAUAAUGUAACUAAUUGUUUGUGUACUUAUUGAAGUUUUUGAGUUAGUAGCAUUGGUGAUAAUUUGGUAACGGGGAAUGAGGGAUAAGAAAACACGUCUGGUGGCCAUGUAUAUUAAAACAAGAAAAAGAUUAGUACAUAAUAAAUAAAAAAGUACAAGUAUAAGAGUGGUAAGCCAACAGUGGUAUGCCAUCAGUAGUAGAAUUAGAGCCUAACUUGGGAACUAAGAAGUAUAAGAGUAGUAGAAUUAGAGCCAACAGUGGUAUGCCAUAAUAAAUAAAAAAGUACAAGUAUAAGAGUGGUAAGAAGUUUUAUAACACUUACGGGAUCUAACACUAACCUUAUGUUAACUAGUUCUAUACCCGUCCGGUGGACGGGAUCUUAUUUUGAUAUCAUAAUGAUAAAAGUUUUUUUUUUUAAUUCUAAAUAUAUUUAGAUCAUGAUGAAAAAAAGUUAAAAGUAUGUAAAUAUCAUAAAAUUACAUUAAUUGUUUUGGGAUGAAAACGAAAAUCGUUUUUCUAAAUAAUAAAGAAAAAGUAAGUGUUUUAUACUCAUAAAUAAAUAAAGUUUUGGUAUUCUCAUUUCACCAUGUCUAGAGAUGCCUCUCUUAUGUUUAAAAAAUGUUGAUUAUCCGAAUUUAACGAUAAAAUUCUUUAAAAAGUUACAUUAAUUGAUUCUUCUCAAAUUAACUUUUAAACUUUGUAUUUCUGUUAAUUUUAUUUAUCCAAUAUUACGAAAUCUACAAAUAUGCAGUAUAAAAUCUUACUAUUAUAAUAAACAAAACUACUUGUGGGACACUUGGCAUAUUCGGAGGGCCUCUCCUUUUCUUUUUUCCCGCCCAAAUUCCGGGUUGUGAUUUGGUUACAUGCGGUGCUCCAUAUUCUUUUUAUGACCCUGAUUCAAAUGUCAUUCAACCCCUGAAAAUUAGCUCUCAUUCGUUGUUUUCAUCUUUUCACUCCAGAACCCUAAAAAAACUCCAUCAUCUCAUCUCUCAGCAUUGGCUCCUUCACCAACAUCGAUUUCAUCUUAAAGAUUUUGACCCUUUGUGAAUGCAAAGAAGACAUAAAAAAUAAAGUUCACGCGAUGAUCGAUAAAUUGGCUUAACAUUUGCAGAGCUCACGCCGAUGAACAACUUGCUAUUGCUAAGGAGAUUGGUAGACGACUUCGUAUGGGGCAAACACGCACCCUUCUUCUUUACUUGGUGGCGACAAGGAUGCAUCUAUAGCAGUUCACCUUAUUUAAGAGCUGAUUGAGGAAACUGAUGAAUUUACUGGACUUUUCCUAGAACUUAAGUAUGAGAUGUGAAGGAUUUACAAGAAAGAAUGUGCAUUUGUAGAAAGAUAGGUGAUGGUGUGAAUGAUGCACCUGUUUAAAAAAAAAAAAAAAGCUAAAAGCACACUUUGGUAAUUGAUGUUGCUUAGCUAUAGAUGAUGAAAUCGUGUAGCAGACUACAUUUGUUACCAAUUGCGAAUCUGCUGGAGAGAGCCACAUGUAUUUAUUUUUUAAUUUUCGAAUAUUUGUUAUGCGGUUAAUAUUACUAUUUUUCAUAUAGUUUGCUCACUUAAUAUUCAUGAUUUGUAGUAUGAGGGAUAAGAUUGAGACUCCAGAAGAGAUUUAGUUUAGAAAUCAGUCAAAUAAUUUCACUUCAUUUUUGUUUGUUAUGAUUUACUUCAAAUUGUUAGGUGUAGGUGCUCAUUCAAAGACAAGAAAAUAAUUAUUUACCAUAAUGUAGAAGGCUAUAUGUUCUGUUGUUUAGGAUCAUGUUUGCUUUAUGCAAAGUGAGGUUUUUUCUUUUUGGUAAUCACGUUCGGGAGAGAACAUAUGUAUACUGUAUUACAUUGAGAUCCAUUUAUAUUGCACACUAUUUUUUAUUUACUUAAUGAACUUUAUUUUUAUUAUAUUUUUGUGUUAUACAACUUAAAAUUAUUCAACCCGUGUAUCACACGGGUAAAUAACCUAGUCUGUAAUUAAGCUAAACUACAAGGGUGCGGUUUGUAUAUUAAAAAACAAUUUUUAUCACCAAUCGUUGUAUCCAAGAAACCCAUUUCGUUGACACGUGUUACAAAAUCCUUCAUUUUCUCUGAUUUUUUCCCUCUUCAAGAAACCCUAAUCAGUAAUCACUCUAAUUGCCCACUUGAAAUUUUUAGCCAAGUUUCUUUCCAUCUUCAUCGAUGUUGAGACGCUUGCAUCAUCUUCUUCAACAUCAUGCCAUGGUGCUAUUGUUCUUGUUUAUAUAUGCACCAAAGUUUAGAGAGGUGUUCUGACAAAGGAGUAGCUUGAUGUUUUGAGUUUAAAUCUUCAUCAAUCAGGUUGUUUUUAGCAUCGUAUCCUCUGGUACGGCUCUUGAUUUUCGGUAAAUCACACAUUUUUUUUCGUUUCUUAAGUUUAUUAGGGUUUCGGUAGAUUCAAUUUGGGGAUAUCACUAUCAAUCACGAUUUGGGGUUAUUGUAAACCCAUUAGUGUUUUUAGUAAGAUUUUUAAUUUUAUUUGGAUCUUUUGUAGUGUUCUGAUAUUUAUUAGGGUUUGGAUGGAUACAAUUUUUGUGAUUAAACGUGUUUGGUGUUAAGUUAAUCAAGCGUCUGGUCACUCUCUAAAGGUAUACUAAUGGAUCAAUAUUUACAUGUUUAUUCGCAGCCUCUAAUCUAUGUGCUUUCAAGUAACCAAAAUUGACUGGUAAAAACCGUAGUUUUUUAGUUGGAAAGUUUGUGCUUGGUAUUCCAUUGAAGGCUAGUUCAUUGUUCGUUACAUGUUGUGAGAUGGAAAAGUGAAAAUGGAGCAUGGAACUUGGAUGAGAAGACGAAGCAGAGAGUCAAAUGCGUUUUACAGACACUACAUGUUGUGGGUAUAAAUAGGCUACUUUUGGAGGUAACCAUACGGCGGUUACCUACGACAAUCAAGGAAAGGCUAAUGCAUUCGCGACAUCAACUCAAAACAAAUUUAUGUCUAGCAUUAAAUUUCUUUUUUAUUGUGAUUUUUUUUCUGUGUUUAUGUUUUGAAAUUCUUUAUAUUGUUUUAUUGUCAUGAAAAAGCUUUAUCUUUUAUUUA
Helianthus annuus (common sunflower) is the source of this 4380-nucleotide long non-coding RNA. RefSeq lists it as uncharacterized. NCBI's taxonomy places the organism in Eukaryota, Viridiplantae, Streptophyta, Magnoliopsida, Asterales, Asteraceae. The transcript is spliced from 9 exons. The record is from RefSeq and is a predicted model, not a curated record.